UACGGAGGGCGCGAGCGUUGUCCGGAAUCACUGGGCGUAAAGGGCGCGUAGGCGGCCUGAUAAGUAGGGGGUGAAAUCCUGCGGCUUAACCGCAGGGCUGCCUUCUAAACUGUCAGGCUGGAGCACAGUAGAGGCAGGUGGAAUUCCCGGUGUAGCGGUGGAAUGCGUAGAGAUCGGGAAGAACACCGGUGGCGCAAGCGGCUUGCUGGGCUGUAGCUGACGCUGAAGCGCGACAGCGUGGGGAGCAAACAGG
Molecule: ribosomal RNA, 253 nt
Filed under: uncultured bacterium
Lineage: Bacteria
Description: partial 16S ribosomal RNA
Rfam family: Bacterial small subunit ribosomal RNA
Source: RNAcentral